UAAGUAGGACAAACAGUCGCGGAUGCAAGUCCCGAAAGGGAGCAGACGAGGAAAGUCCGGGCUUCACAGGGCAGGAUGCCGGAUAACGUCCGGUGGAGGCGACUCCAAGGAUAGUGCAACAGAAAUAAACCGCCGCUUAUGCGGUAAGGGUGGAAAGGCAGUGUAAGAGACUACCGCCUUUCUGGUAACAGGGAGGGCACAUGUAAACCCCAUCCGAAGAAAGACCGAAUGAAAACGAUACGGCGGCCCGUCGUGUUUUAGGUGGGUUGAUGGAACCCCGUGGCGACAUGGGGUCUAGAUAGAUGACUGUUCGAGACAUAACCCGGCUUACCGUCCUGCUCAUGCC
RNAcentral lists this RNase P RNA (346 nucleotides) under Drancourtella sp. An210. RNAcentral describes it as "RNase P RNA component class A". It matches the Rfam family "Bacterial RNase P class A". Rfam says of the family: Ribonuclease P (RNase P) is a ubiquitous endoribonuclease, found in archaea, bacteria and eukarya as well as chloroplasts and mitochondria. Its best characterised activity is the generation of mature 5'-ends of tRNAs by cleaving the 5'-leader elements of precursor-tRNAs. Lineage: Bacteria; Bacillati; Bacillota; Clostridia; Eubacteriales; Oscillospiraceae. The record is from RNAcentral. RNAcentral also lists the same sequence under 2 other names.